UACAUUUGUGUGUGUAAGUGUAUGUGCAGGCCACAGCACGUGUG
RNAcentral lists this microRNA precursor (44 nucleotides) under Mus pahari (shrew mouse). RNAcentral describes it as "miRNA (MGP_PahariEiJ_G0007435.1)". Lineage: Eukaryota; Metazoa; Chordata; Mammalia; Rodentia; Muridae. The record is from RNAcentral.